GUUGCUGCAGAGGCAGUGGGACCUGAGACUUUCCAGCGAUGGUGGAAGAGUUGUCCUCCACCUGCCGAGUGGCUGAGCUAGGAGGAUAUUAGUCCGGAGCUGCUAGGGGUCCUGCUGUCCCCAGGGGAAGGUCUGCCUUAGAGCAAAGCCACUAUAGAGGUGAUUAAGCUGGGUUGCAGGCCCUGAUGUGCCACUACUCACAGUGAGACUGCAAAUCACAUUGUUCCAAGCCUCCGUGUACCCAUCCAAGCAAUGACUAAGGAUCCCAAGGAUGUUCCUUGUGGAAUUAAUAAAGCUCUGCUACAGAAAGUUUCCAUAAUCAAUAGGUUCCGGAAAAGUUGCACCGGCUAGCGUUUUCUUUGGAACGUUAGCAUGGCAAAGGUUUUGGAAAUCCCAGCAGCCAAGACAUAUGGGUGUUCGACCCAGCAUUUCCAGGUGUAUACGUUUGAUUCCGAAUGCAUCAAAGGUGUUAAAACAUGAGCAGAAAGAGAGAAAGAAAAAGACACCCAACGAGUAAAAUCCUGCUUUGACAUGUCAACAACUGUCACGAGGACCAAAAAUUUGACUCAACGUUGGAAAACAGCUCAUUUGGAUUCCCUCAAAGGCUGAAUAAGUGGGAAGUCAUCCAGGCUACAGCAUGAAAGCUGUAGGUUAGACAAAGAGAAGAAAUGUCCUACAAGGCAAGUCCUGGACAUGGAAUCAGCUCUUGACGGGGAGAUGUCCACCUGCGAUAAUCCAAGGACUAGAGGAACUUCCCUUGAAACAGAAGGCAGAAAAUAAAUCUAGACAUUUCCUGUUCGGACAGCAUAACGCAGAGCACAAAGAGGUGACCUAAAGAAGCCCGUUAAUAGUGACUUCCCAUUUCUGUCCCUUCCAGUUCUCUGAGGUUUCUCUGUACCAUUUCCAGAGUGACUAACCCCAGGCUGGAUGGCCAGUGCUCCCAGGGGCAACCCUUUCCUUUGAUCCUGGCUGUGCUCCACCGUGUAUGAAUUUGAACUUUCUACUGCUGGCUGACCUGUGUUUGUGUCUCCAGACAGACCUCAUACCAGCAACGGCACAGCCUCUGUCCCUCCCAGCAAAUGGCAGCUCUCAGGAGAGAUGGAGGGGGGAGCGUCAAUAAGGAGCCCACAGGUCAAGGGACGGUAAGGGCCCCGAGACUGACAUCAGAGGGAAGCUGUCCCCAGGCCUGCAGACUUAAGUACGGCCCCACGGCCAGCUAGAGAGUCACCUGAGAAGAGCAAUGGCUUCGGAAGAGAAACUCGGCCAUUGCCAACCUCUGCGCUUUGCCAAAUGGGGGUUGGGGGGACAGAAUUUUUUAAUUUUGACGAAGUCCAAUUUAUCUUUCCUUUACUGUCGGCAGUGCGUCGGGUUGGCCUGAGGAAUAUUUGCUUUUCCCAAGAUCUUUCACCCCUGUUUUCUUCUAGAUGUUUUAAAGUUUUAGACUUUACGUUCAAGUGCAUGAUUCAUUUGAAGUUAAUGUUUAUGUGGCAUCAGUCAGGGGUUGAAGUUCAUUUUCCCCCAUAUAAAUAUUCAUUGACUUCUAAGCCAUUUGUCAAAAAGGCUUUCUUUUCUUCACUGAAUUACUUGGGCACCUCUGUUGAACAUCGGUUGAAUAUAGAUGAGUGAUGUGUUUUUGGA
Molecule: long non-coding RNA, 1638 nt
Organism: Felis catus (domestic cat)
Lineage: Eukaryota; Metazoa; Chordata; Mammalia; Carnivora; Felidae
Exons: 2
Source: RefSeq, a predicted model, not a curated record